RNAcentral lists this unclassified non-coding RNA (422 nucleotides) under fungal sp. Its description in RNAcentral is "partial internal transcribed spacer region". The stretch from base 1 to 46 matches the Rfam family "Eukaryotic small subunit ribosomal RNA", at positions 1786 to 1831 of the family's 1831-position model. The record is from RNAcentral. Lineage: Eukaryota; Fungi.
AAGUCGUAACAAGGUUUCCGUAGGUGAACCUGCGGAAGGAUCAUUAAUACGCUUUUGUUUGUAACAAAACAAAACGUUUUAAACCCCAAAAUUUGAAUAGUGGAAACAUAUCUUCCGGGUGCGAAUGUUGGGGAACUUGAGUAAAAUCGGUUCUUUGAAAAAGGGACUUCAAGCAAUUGACACUUCAGAGUAGAGCAGUGAGGUGAAAUUCUCUUUUCGGAGAGAGUUUGGUUCUGAAAAACAUUUGUAUCCGGUUAUCAUAAUCUGUUCUACAAACUCCAAAAUAUCAAACAAUAAACCCCAUGUACAACAACUUGAACUAAACAUUUUUUUGUUGUCUCUUCUUGCACUUGUGUGAGAAGAUGAUACAAAGAAAAACCUGAACUUAAGAACAACUCUUAACAACGGAUAUCUUGGUUCUC